UGAGGAAUAUUGGUCAAUGGGCGGGAGCCUGAACCAGCCAAGUAGCGUGAAGGAUGACGGCCCUACGGGUUGUAAACUUCUUUUAUAAGGGAAUAAAGUUCGCCACGUGUGGUGUUUUGUAUGUACCUUAUGAAUAAGCAUCGGCUAAUUCCGUGCCAGCAGCCGCGGUAAUACGGAAGAUGCGAGCGUUAUCCGGAUUUAUUGGGUUUAAAGGGAGCGUAGGCCGGCGCUUAAGCGUGCCGUGAAAUGUCCCGGCUCAACCGGGGCACUGCGGCGCGAACUGGGUGCCUUGAGUGCGCGGAACGUAUGCGGAAUUCGUGGUGUAGCGGUGAAAUGCUUAGAUAUCACGAAGAACUCCGAUUGCGAAGGCAGCAUACGGCAGCGCUACUGACGCUGAAGCUCGAAGGCGCGGGUAUCGAACAGGAUUAGAUACCCUGGUAGUCCGCGCGGUAAACGAUGGAUGCCCGCUGUUGGCGAUAUUACGGUCAGCGGCCAAGCGAAAGCGUUAAGCAUCCCACCUGGGGAGUACGCCGGCAACGGUGAAACUCAAAGGAAUUGACGGGGGCCCGCACAAGCGGAGGAACAUGUGGUUUAAUUCGAUGAUACGCGAGGAACCUUACCCGGGCUUGAACUGCAGGAGAACGAUCCAGAGAUGGUGAGGCCCUUCGGGGCUCCUGUGGAGGUGCUGCAUGGUUGUCGUCAGCUCGUGCCGUGAGGUGUCGGCUUAAGUGCCAUAACGAGCGCAACCCCUGUUCCCAGUUGCCAUCGGGUAAUGCCGGGCACUCUGUGAAGACUGCCUCCGUAAGGAGUGAGGAGGGUGGGGAUGACGUCAAAUCAGCACGGCCCUUACGUCCGGGGCUACACACGUGUUACAAUGGGUGGUACAGAAGGCCGGGGGCCGGCAACGUCCCUCCAAUCCUGAAAGCCACCCUCAGUUCGGACUGGGGUCUGCAACCCGACCCCACGAAGCUGGAUUCGCUAGUAAUCGCGCAUCAGCCAUGGCGCGGUGAAUACGUUCCC
RNAcentral lists this ribosomal RNA (1020 nucleotides) under uncultured bacterium. RNAcentral describes it as "bacterial SSU rRNA". It matches the Rfam family "Bacterial small subunit ribosomal RNA", at positions 355 to 1375 of the family's 1533-position model. The record is from RNAcentral.